GACGUAGGGCGCGAGCGUUGUCCGGAUUUAUUGGGCGUAAAGAGCUCGUAGGCGGCUUGUCGCGUCGUUCGUGAAAACCUGCAGCUCAACUGCAGGCUUGCGGUCGAUACGGGCAGGCUGGAGUUCGGUAGGGGAGACUGGAAUUCCUGGUGUAGCGGUGAAAUGCGCAGAUAUCAGGAGGAACACCGGUGGCGAAGGCGGAUCUCUGGGCCUUACCUGACGCUGAGGCGCGAAAGCUAGGGGAGCGAACAGG
Molecule: ribosomal RNA, 253 nt
Filed under: uncultured bacterium
Lineage: Bacteria
Description: partial 16S ribosomal RNA
Rfam family: Bacterial small subunit ribosomal RNA
Source: RNAcentral